UGCCAGCAGCCGCGGUAAUACAGAGGGUGCAAGCGUUAAUCGGAAUUACUGGGCGUAAAGGGCGCGUAGGUGGAUAAUUAAGUUAGAUGUGAAAGACCAGGGCUUAACCUUGGGGUGUCAUCUAAUACUGGUUAUCUAGAGUACGGUAGAGGGAAGUGGAAUUUCCGGUGUAGCGGUGAAAUGCGUAGAUAUCGGAAGGAACAUCAGUGGCGAAGGCGACUUCCUGGACUGAUACUGACACUGAGGUGCGAAAGCGUGGGUAGCGAACAGGAUUAGAUA
RNAcentral lists this ribosomal RNA (279 nucleotides) under uncultured bacterium. RNAcentral's name for it is "partial 16S ribosomal RNA". It matches the Rfam family "Bacterial small subunit ribosomal RNA", at positions 506 to 784 of the family's 1533-position model. The record is from RNAcentral.